UUAGAAAUCUAUAAUUUUAUUAAGACAAAAACUGACAGUAUGGUAUGAAGUUUACACUUAAACAAAAAAAUUUCACAUACAUCUUAACACAUGCUGAAAAAGAUUUUACAAUGUAAUUCUAUUUGCAGGUCUAGACAAUACUAAAAAUUGAUGGAUCUCAUGAUUUAAGACAGUAUUUUGGACAUCAGUUAAUCUGAAGAUUUUGUAUUCUCAAGUGAACCACUACCCCAAUAUGAAAGUUAAUCUCCUGAGACCAGGGCUUGUGAAGUCAUUCAAUCCUUGAAUAGACUCAAUGGAAUUUGUGCUGUCAGUAACUGAACCUGCCACAAGCAGUUUCAGGGUUCAAAGCUGAAAAAACAAAAUAAAAAAAAAAAAAAAAAAAAAAAGAA
RNAcentral lists this long non-coding RNA (389 nucleotides) under Rattus norvegicus (Norway rat). RNAcentral describes it as "long non-coding RNA NONRATT005940". Lineage: Eukaryota; Metazoa; Chordata; Mammalia; Rodentia; Muridae. The record is from RNAcentral.